RNAcentral lists this long non-coding RNA (3604 nucleotides) under Macaca fascicularis (crab-eating macaque). RNAcentral describes it as "lncRNA (ENSMFAG00000055619.1)". The record is from RNAcentral. Lineage: Eukaryota; Metazoa; Chordata; Mammalia; Primates; Cercopithecidae.
UAGAAGAAUUUUAAACUAGUACGUAUACUCCUGUUAAAUAGAAAUGGGAUUCAUUGUAUUAUGUGCUUGCUUUUUUUUAAAUCAAUAGAAUAAGAUUCAAUGCAUAUUUAUGUUAUAUAUUUUCCACUAUUCAGGUAUCAUGAAAUCACUCCAGAGAUGAUCAAUCAACAUCAUAUUUAUACUUUUGGUUAAUUAUAUACUACUCAGGGAAAAAAUGAACAAAAAUAAUUAUUCAUCCUUCAAUUUCAUUUUCUUGAAACAGAGUUCGUUUAAUUUGGUAUGCCUCAGCUGUCACCAUUUUAUAAGUGGCUUGUUCUGUUUUUAAAAUAAGUAUUUUUAUUGGAACUCAGGGUAAUUGGGGGAAUUUAUUUAGCUUCAAUAUCCAGCAGGGUAGAGAAGAUUUAUUUGGCUUCACAAAUGUCUGGUGACCCCUUCUUUUAUUAGCCACUACUGCCCAUUUGAUUCAAAAAUAAAUUUAUUGGUCUCCACCAUGUGUGACACACACAGGAUUUCCAAACAUACCACUUUUAAGAAAAAUGUGCAGUAGAAAGGAGGUUUCUAGAAAGUGACAGUAACUCACAUUUAAGCACUACCUGACCUGGGAGGGGACCUGGAUUUUCAUUCUGGUUCUGCCUUUCAUGAGACUUAAGACUUGGAGGAGCCACCUGUCCUGUAAACCCCAAGUUCCUCAGCCAUAAGCAAGUGGGGUCAUCCUAAGAGUUCAGGACCAGUUGGGUGUCAUGAAUGGAGCCAUUAGCAAGGUCUGUAGGAUUCAAGGAGUUGGGCAAAUUCACAGUCCACUCUAUUGUCAUGGUUACUGACUUGUACUCCUUGAGCUCAAAGCCCUGACAUUUCAAAAGGUUGUCAUGAUAACAGUGAAACCUCUGAAUCCCUUAAAUCAGAAGGCGUGGCAAAUACUUUUUCUACUGGCAAUAGCUCUUACAAUGAGUGUUUCAUAAUGAAAUGUCUCUGCUGAAGAAAACAUGUUUUCCUUUUGCUUUCUCUGCUUUGUUGGUUUCUGUGUGUGCUGUGUAACACUGGAGAAGAUACAUGCUCUGGAAUAUUUUAUACAGAUUACUGACUACUGGACAGCGUUUAACACUGCACAACAUCUCAAAGUUAUUCAAGGAUAUUUAAAGCAUAUUUACUUUAGUUACACCUUAUUUUAAACUCCAGAAAACAAUAGCUUUAAAAUUUUUGACAUUAAAAUAAUUAUAAAUGUAUACUUUUACUCGAGGACUAGAUCACAAUUUUAGGGCAAAAAUCUUUCCUAUUUAAAAUUAAUGCCUUGUAAAUAUUUAGUUUAUAUAUUCAUGAACAAAUCUGGACAUUUAUACUUUUUUUUGUUUCCUUAUCAACUGUUCACAAUUAUUACUUAAUUGGUUUUAACAGUUCUACAUUAUAAUUGAAAGAAAAACUACUUGAGCGACUGAUUGUUUCAGAAUAGUGCCUACUAUUUCUGUGUCAGCUAAAAAUUUGUCCAGAGUUUUAGAUAUAAGCUAGUAUUUUGUGGAGUUUUAUCCAGGCAUGAAUAGUUCUUCCUGGCUGAAACUUAAUACAUCAGAUUUAAUAUAGGUGCAGAAUCCUAAAUAACACUGUGAGAUGUAAUCUUAACUGCCCUCCAUACCUUAUAAAACUGCUGCACUUAACCCAGUGUGCAUUUAAUGAGUGGCUGGUCAUUGAUACACUCAUCUUAGAUGCUGAAAUUUCUGUUCUGCUAGCCCUUGUAAAAGUGGGUUUCUUGAUCAAUGCGUGCUCCCAAUGCUGAAGGAAAAGAUUUGUGUUUAAGAAAAGAAGUACAUGCUGAAAUUUGAGUGUGAAAGAUUAGAACAUAGAGGGUCUCUACAGUGUUUUUCUGCCACACUAGGAUGUCAAAUCUAUUUAUAGAGACUCUGAUUACAACAGAAAUUUUAAAACGAAAUUUUCCACAUAAGUAUUUUGUAGGAAAGCUCUUAUAAUCAAUGCUUAAGCUGCUUUUUGAGGCUUUUCUUGUACAGAGGUUGCAGCCAAUUACAUUUUAAUUGGUAGGCUGCUGAAUAAUGUUUUUGUACGUUUUAAAAUAAUAUUUAUUUUAAUAGGUUUUUUAACAUUAUGCAAACCCCAAUAAAGAACUGACACGCUGCACAGGCCAUUGACUGGGAAAUUUUGUGAAACACAGCCUAAAUACACAGUUUUUACACCAACUAAUUUGUCUUGCCUUUAAAACUGAUUAUAACUCUUUAAGUACAACUUUUAUAAAGAAAAAACACAACACUAAGACUGUAUGUUCUAUAAAUUACAGUGUAAUGACCCAUGCAGAACCACUGUCUGAAGCUUCCUCAGUGAUGCAUAGCCAUCUCUCCAGCCAUGUUGUAUCAAAUUGCACACUAAAAAGAAAGGGAAAUACUACAAUGAAAAACCAAAAGUUGGCCGGGCGCGGUGGCUCAAGCCUGUAAUCCCAGCACUUUGGGAGGCCGAGACGGGUGGAUCACGAGGUCAGGAAAUCGAGACCAUCCUGGCUAACACGGUGAAACCCGGUCUCUACUAAAAAAUACAAAAAACUAGCCGGGCCCAGUGGCGGGUGCCUGCAGUCCCAGCUACUCAGGAGGCUGAGGCAGGAGAAUGGCGGGAACCCGGGAGGCGGAGCUUGCAGUGAGCUGAGAUCCGGCCACUGCACUCCAGCCCGGGCGGCAGAGCGAGACUCCGUCUCAAAAAAAAAAAACAAAAGUUACAGAGCAACAUAAGUAAAAUGACUAACCAGUUUCCUAGUAACAUGUUUGAAAUGGAAAAGGUGACUGACUGCCUUUCACUAGAGUCUUAGCUGUUUCAUGUUCACUAUUUUAGGUUAAUUUUCUUGGGAAAUCAAUUUGAAUAUUCCUCCCUGUCCUUUUGCAUUAUAGGACAAAAAUAUAUGUUCAGAGUUUGACAGACUUAAAUAUGCCUCUUUCCCAAUUUUAAGUAUUUUUGGUUCUGCGUGCAUAGAUUUAUCAAUGAAGUACAUUUGCCUCUGACUUUAUCACAAGGAAAAAGGAAUCAAACAUUGAACACAAAUGUGUUCCAAACCAGUCUUGUCCAUCUUGUCACUUUUAUGUGACUGCUCCUUUGAACCAGAAGGGGCAUGAUAGAAGGCAAUAGGAAUUAAAGUAAAAAUCAUUCAGGGGAAGUGAGAAAUUCUACCAUAUACAGAGUGAAAAUGUGUGAUUUCAUUCCUGCCUUCCUUUAAACCUUGUGUCUUGAUCUCUGCCUAGUAGUAGUUAAGCCCACAGUCGCCCAAACAUGAGGAGAGACCCAACUCCAGCAGCCAGAAUUUAGUAUUUACAUUUGCCUUCCCAAGUUGAGAAUAGAAUGUGGUGUUCUGUACUUUCUGUUUUUAUUAUUCUGAAAUAUUUUUUUAAAGAAGUGUUAUUUUUCAACAGAUUCAUAAAUUAGUUCCUGAUGUAUGGGAAAUUAAAACUCCCACUGUGUCAAACUGAUAUGCUAAUUUCAUAACCACUCAUUUCUAGUCCGUCAGAGCUGUACUGGUGGCUUAUUGCUGGGUUUUAAAGGUGUUUUUAACUUACAUAUAAGUGUUUUUUUUUUCUAAUUUGUGUGUCUUUACAACUGAUUAAACAGUAGUUUAAAAAUA